GAAGUCGGCUAGGCGAUCGCUGUAUGAACUCAUGAAAAUGAGGCUUGUGCAGAGGAAAGUCCGGGCUCCAUAGAGCAGGAUGCCGGCUAACGGCCGGACGCCGUGAGGCGAUGGAAAGUCCCGCGCAAGCGGGAUUCCGUCAUGCAGUGGCCUGUGUGAUCGCGCAAGCGCUUGCCAAAGCUGCAUGAUGGGAUGCAACAGAAAAAUUCCGCCGAAGGGUACAGGUCCCCUGGCAAGGGUGAAAUGGUGCGGUAAGAGCGCACCGCGCACGUGGCAACACGGAGCGGCAUGGCAAACCCCAUCCGGAGCAACACCAAAUAGGCAAGUGCGUCGCGGCUUCUAGCUGCGGCGUAGGGCGGCUCGUCCGAACUUGCGGGUAGGUGGCUUGAGCCAGCGGGUAACCGUUGACCUAGAGGAAUGAUCGUCCCCGACAGAACCCGGCUUAUCGGCCGACUUCACCC
This 461-nucleotide RNase P RNA is filed under the name Betaproteobacteria bacterium. RNAcentral describes it as "RNase P RNA component class A". It matches the Rfam family "Bacterial RNase P class A". Rfam says of the family: Ribonuclease P (RNase P) is a ubiquitous endoribonuclease, found in archaea, bacteria and eukarya as well as chloroplasts and mitochondria. Its best characterised activity is the generation of mature 5'-ends of tRNAs by cleaving the 5'-leader elements of precursor-tRNAs. Lineage: Bacteria; Pseudomonadati; Pseudomonadota; Betaproteobacteria. The record is from RNAcentral.